RNAcentral lists this ribosomal RNA (635 nucleotides) under Lacticaseibacillus casei. RNAcentral describes it as "bacterial SSU rRNA". It matches the Rfam family "Bacterial small subunit ribosomal RNA", at positions 114 to 729 of the family's 1533-position model. Lineage: Bacteria; Bacillati; Bacillota; Bacilli; Lactobacillales; Lactobacillaceae. The record is from RNAcentral.
CACGUGGGUAACCUGCCCUUAAGUGGGGGAUAACAUUUGGAAACAGAUGGCUAAUACCGCAUAGAUCCAAGAACCGCAUGGUUCUUGGCUGAAAGAUGGCGUAAGCUAUCGCUUUUGGAUGGACCCGCGGCGUAUUAGCUAGUUGGUGAAAGGUAAUGGCUCACCAAGGCGAUGAUACGUAGCCGAACUGAGAGGUUGAUCGGCCACAUUGGGACUGAGACACGGCCCAAACUCCUACGGGAGGCAGCAGUAGGGAAUCUUCCACAAUGGACGCAAGUCUGAUGGAGCAACGCCGCGUGAGUGAAGAAGGCUUUCGGGUCGUAAAACUCUGUUGUUGGAGAAGAAUGGUCGGCAGAGUAACUGUUGUCGGCGUGACGGUAUCCAACCAGAAAGCCACGGCUAACUACGUGCCAGCAGCCGCGGUAAUACGUAGGUGGCAAAAGCGUUAUCCGGAUUUAUUGGGCGUAAGCGAGGGCGCAGGCGGUUUUUUAAGUCUGAUGUGAAAGCCCUCGGCUUAACCGAGGAAGCGCAUCGGAAACUGGGAAACUUGAGUGCACAAGAGGACAGUGGAACUCCAUGUGUAGCGGUGAAAUGCGUAGAUAUAUGGAAGAACACCAGUGGCGAAGGCGGCUGUC